RNAcentral lists this ribosomal RNA (459 nucleotides) under uncultured bacterium. RNAcentral describes it as "partial 16S ribosomal RNA". It matches the Rfam family "Bacterial small subunit ribosomal RNA", at positions 338 to 795 of the family's 1533-position model. The record is from RNAcentral.
CCUACGGGUGGCAGCAGUGAGGAAUAUUGGUCAAUGGCCGAGAGGCUGAACCAGCCAAGUCGCGUGAGGGAAGACGGCCCUACGGGUUGUAAACCUCUUUUGUCGGGGAGCAAAGCGAGUCACGUGUGACUCAUUGAGAGUACCCGAAGAAAAAGCAUCGGCUAACUCCGUGCCAGCAGCAGCGGUAAUACGGAGGAUGCGCGCGUUCUUCGGAUUUAUUGGUUUUAACGGGUGGUCAGGCGGAGGUGCAAGUUAGCGGUAAAAUUGCGGGGCGCAACCCCGUACUGCGGUUGAAACUGCAUCCCUUGAGUGCGCGAGAAGUAUGCGGAAUGCGUGGUGGAGCGGUGAAAUGCAUAGAUAUCACGCAGAACUCCGAUUGCGAAGGCAGCAUACCGGCGCGCAACUGACGCUCAUGCACGAAAGCGUGGGUAUCGAACAGGAUUAGAUACCCUGGUAGUC